UUUGAUUCCUUCGAUGCAUCAUGGCUGUCUUUAUUGGUAGUAAUUCUGUACGAUGCUGCCACGUUUGGUAUACUCCUGUUAUCAUGUAUUUCAUCUGAACGACAAUAAACAACAUCCGAUAUAUUAUAUUCAGCUAUGUAAUUCUAUUUAUUUUUUACUUAAAUAACGUUUGGUAUAGUUUUGGAUGAUUUUGGAGCAUAGCAGAUUUUCUACCUGGGGGGUGUAAAGCAUUUGGUUUGAAUGCUCACAUUUGUUUUAAAUUUACCUCUUUCUAAUAAAUGCAAAGAAAUUAACAACUAGUUAUUCAUACAUAUCUGCCUAGGAUAAUUUAUAAUCAAAGUUCGAGACGAAUAAAUUGGCGGCAAAUCUCUUUUCCUUCGCUACCAGAUCUAUGUAUCAGUUAUGGUAAUCUACCGCGCAGCUCCGAGCGUUAUGUCCUUGUUGUUGGCAUUUUUUGCAACAUCUUGGCUUUUUUACUUUAAUUUCUCUAGUUGACUUGAACCUCGGGUCUGCCUUGCUCGGGCGACCCGUAUUUUUCCCGCUUCCUUUUGUCUUCGCUACCUUAGGAUUCCCUAUUAGAGGAAUGCAAGUAAUCUUAUCUUCAAAUAUGGUAAUAGAUCUUGAAACCGAUUGCCUAUUAGCGGUGGAGUGUAGCCCUUCAAAUUCUUGCAGGAUUCCAUUCAUUCUUGAAAUUAUUUCAUCUUCUAUCUUUGCAUUGUUUGCAAUCAAUCUUGCGCAUCUAUUGAAAAUCGAUGUAAGAGCGUUACCUACGGGUUUUUUAAUCCCUUCUUCUCUUGUUUGUGAUUUGUUUUCUGUCUUUUUCCAACGAUCGCAAAUCAGAUCAUUUGGUAAUGAAGUCCUUCCAGUUGAUGUUAGAAAACAAAUAAUAUGGCGGCACGGAAUUGCUUUGCUUGAGAAUAGAUGAUAGCUACAUGAUGGUGUAUCAUCCAAAUCCUUGCAUGUUAUUUUAGCUGACUGAAUUUGGGUGUAUAUCCCUACUACAAUGUGAAUAUUGGGUUCAUGUGAAAGUAGAUAUAGAAAUAUUAUAAAAAAACCAUAUUAUGAAAUGUAUUCGAAUUUAAUGACCAUUCCUUACAUUUGGAAGUCCUCGAAUAUAAUAGCAUACACUUUUCUGGACUUGUUGCUGGUAUAGUAAAAAAAACCUCUGUAGUGUAGAUGGAGAGCAAACAUUUUUCGAUUUGUAGUUGUGUAAUUAGUAAUGGUGGUGCGUCCCUGUCUCUGUGGUUCAGUUCUUCGAGUUUGUUGCGUUGUGCGUUUAACACUACUUUUAGGGAGCAAACAAAUUCGAAUAAUGUUGAUGAUCGUUUGACGUUUAACUUCACUAGGGAAUUCAUCCCCUCACUUCGUUGGGUACUCUGCAUCCCACCGAAGAAGUGAUUAGUCAUGUAAAUUGGACACCAGCUUUCUCGGAUGGUAUACAUAUCUUUCAACCACUUGUUUUCUGUUAGUUUAUUGUCGGUGGCCCAAGAAGCCCAAUUUUUCUCAAAUUCAUUGAUAUUCUCAGAUGUAUUCAGGAUCUUGUUGAACCGUUCCAUCUCGUCCUUAUUCCUGUAGACUAUGCCAACCUUAUCACACAUCUUGUGGGUGAUGUGCCACUUGCACAGUCGAUGAAAUGUUGUUGGGAAUUCACGUGAUAUAGCAGUUUUCAUUGCUGCGUCUUGGUCAGUUAUUAUUGUUUUAGGGUAAUUACCCAUGCAUUUCUUGAAUUCUGAGAACAACCAUAUGAAGGAUUCCGUAGACUCGUUCGAGAGAAAUCCAUUAGCGAAGAGUACCGUUCGCAGGUGAUUGUUUAGCCCACAGAAAAUUCCAAUAAUUAGCUUAUACUUGUUUGUGUUAUACGUCGUAUCGAACGUUAUAGCCUCUCCGUAUUGUUUAUAUUCUUCAAUACAUGUAGGGUCAGCCCAAAACAACUGCUUCAAAGAUCCUAUGAAUAGAAAGAGCAUAUUACUACUGUUUAAAUUAUAUACAAAGUUUCAUAUAAAAUUGUUUUUUACCUUCCUCGUCGAGUUCGUACGAGUAGUAGUAAUCGUCGUCAUGAUCCUUAAGUGUUCGAAAUUUAUUGAUAAGAAUAUCUACGUCAUGACUAUUCAUGUUUUCCUUGUCGUCUCGUCGGUAAUUUGAGAAAUCUCGCUGGGUAAAGGAACAGCUAGAGAAGCCCCUCGAUUGCAUAGCGACGUAUGUAUAUUGUUGGCUUGGAGGAAUGUUUGAUUCAUCUAAACUUCUUAUCAAAUUUCGGGCAUACGGUGUUAUUUCCCUAUUUAUCUUAAGGAACCUUUUAUUUGAUGGCGCCGACAUAUCAUGGUUGUGAUCAUCGUUGACGUUACAUAUCAUCCAUUGUUCUCCGAUUUUCUUGAUAGAAAGAAGAGCUUUGCAUCCUGUUCUUGAAUUUCUUAUGUGUCUAGGUUUCGUAGAUAUGUUGGCUGGAUUUUCUACUACUGGCACCUUUGCCUUUGAUGUACCCUCCUUUGAACAAACGUAUGUCUUCUUACGGAGACCCUUUUUCGAAUGUCUAGUUGAGCCUUUUCGCACGCAGAAUCCUUUCUGCCCCGCGAAUGCGUAGUAGGUAUGUUCCACCUCUUCUAGUGAGUCGAAUGUCAUACCGACCUUUGGAAGAUUGAUAAAUCUGGAAAAGUAUGCACUUAUCAAUGUUAUAGUAAUAUGGACUAGAUGUGAUGUGUGUACCAAAUAGUUAUGGUUUGGCGUAGGUUACCUGAUGCUAUCCACAUCUGUACUAUACAUAUCUUCCCUUCCAUAUUGAUCAUCCCUAUUAGUUGGACUGAAAAAUCAAUACCAUACAUCUUCAAAUGAUGUGGGACACCCAUUGGCCUUUCAAAAACAUAUAAUUUAGUAAUCCAUUUCUAACAUAACUUAAAUUACCUUCCUUCUGUCAGUAAAUACGUUUUGUUGUUAUGACUAUCACCUACUUGUAGUUCUUCUGAUUCUGUGAACAAAGUUUCUUUUAGGGGAACCUGACUAGUUAAUUGUUCAUUUGAAUAAAAUCACUUAGGAUUGAAUUUUAAAUACCUCUCCUUUGAAAUUCAUUAUUCAGGCCUAGUGACUGUUUAGCAAAAGAGGAUGAAGGUUAUUAGAACCUAUCCAUGUAAUUUCUAUUUUGUUAAAAAGUUCUCAUAAAAUGUUUAGCGUAGUAUCCUACUCCUAUAGAAUCUUAUAUAAACAAGAGGAAUAACCUAAUAUGAAUCGAUUUUUUUUUCUUUGCAUAUAGUAAACCUAGAAAAGCGUAAGCAUCUUACACUGUAGUUGUCGUUCGUGGGAGCUUCCUCAAUCAUCCUGCACAGAAAAAAUUCCAUUAAGUUCGAUAGUGUGAUUAAAUUAGAAUAACCAUUACUGAUAUUAGUAAUUAGAAUAACCAUUCAAUAUUCAUACAUAAGUGUUUUACUUAUACUGUGCAAUAAUCGAGACAGAAGCAUUGCUGAUCAGGAGAAACUCAACCGGGCAAUUCAAGAACGUAUAAUGAAUUAGGUACAUAAGGACCUAUGAUAGAUUAUUAUUUUUGUGCAAAUAAUAAUAAAACUACCGGCCGAUUAAACCUAAAGUCUGCUCUGGAUAACAGUGAGCAAAACCAGUGCAUCCCACAGAUAGAUACUAUGCAUACUAACUUUAGUGUGCUCUUAUGAAAUCUUAUGAUAUUUUCAAAAUAAUUGAUAUAAAUCUAAAAAUACUCAUGUGUAUGACGACUUAUUAAACAGAAUCACAUAUGUAUUAAUACGAUGCCUAAUCAAAAGAUAUGACAAUAUAAUUAAUCAAAAAUGAAUACAAUUCGAAAUGACAUCCUUCAUACUUGGGCAGUGAUAUUUUGUAUAACGAAAAUGUAAAACCGCCGGACAUGAGUGGGUGAUACCAGCGAAGGUUAUAGCCAGAUUAUGUGGAUACUAAUGAAGAGUGAUUUAUCAUGAAAACGAAUAGUAGUUGGGAAAGUACCUUAACUUGUCGAUGGCGAUGAUCCAAAUUUUUAGACAUAUUUAAGUAGAAGUCACCUGAAAAUUAAAUACCAAAUAAUAACUGGUAGUAAUUACCCUCUUUACUAAGUUAUAUUAAAUUUCAUCUAUAAAAAUUAUGGACACUUUUUUAGAAUUCAUUAGGUUUCGUUGUUAUGACUAUCACCUACUUGUAGUUCUUCAGAUUCUGUGAACAAAGUAUCUUUGAGGGGAACCUGACUAGUUCACUGAUGAUAUGAAGAAAAUCAUUCAAAAAUGAAUUGUAAAUAACUCUCCUUUAUUUAGGACUAGUGACUGUUUAGCAAAAAAGGAUGAAGGUUAUUAGAACCUAUCUAUGUAUUUUCUAGUUUGUUCAAAAGUUCCCAUAAAAUGUUGAGCGUAAUAUCCUAAUCCUAUAGAUUGUUAUAUAAAGUAGACGCAGUUCCUAAUAUGAAUCGAUGUUUUUUUUUUUGCAUAUAGUAAACCUAGCAAAUCGUAAGCAUCUUACACUAGUUGUCGUUCGUGGGAGCUUCCUCAUUCAUCCUGCACAGAAAAAAUGCCAUCGAGUCCAAUAGUGGGAUAAAAGUAUCUUGUUUUUACUACAGAUAUUAGUAUUUAGAGUAACGAUUCAAUAUUCAUACAUUAGUGUUUACUUAUACUGUGCAAUGAUCGAGAAAGUAACAUUAUUUAACAGGAAAAAUCAAAAUCGAUCAAUUCAAGAACUUGUGAUAAAUUAGGGGCCCAAUGACCUGUAAUAGAUUAUUAUUUUUGUGCUAAUCAUAAUAAUACUGAUGCCCGAUUAAACCUAAAGUCUAAUUUGGAUAGCAGUGAGCUAAACUAGUGCAUCCCACAGAUAGAUUCCAUGCAUACUAACUACUAAUGUGUUGGUAUGAUAUCCUCUGAUAUUUUCAAAAUAAUCGAUUUAAAUAAAAAACUACUAAUGUGUAUGACGAAUUAUUAUACAGAAUUACAUUUCUAUUCGUACAAUGCCUAAUCAGAAAAUAUGACCAUAAAAUUAAUCAAAAAUGAAUACAAUUCGAAAUGACAUCCAUCAUACUUGGUCAGGCAUAUUUUGUAAAUCUAACAUGUAAAACCUCUUGUGGCAAAAUGCUUUGAACAGCUAAUAUGAAAUUAGUUAAAGUAAAUAGAUCCAUGAUUAAUACUAAUACCUUAAGGUGGAAAGGGCAAUAGUAAUUAUAACAAAGUCCUUUGUUUGAUUAGUUAUACCGUAUCGAAUUUCUUUUAGUUUCGCAAAAGCUUUUUAGAAUUCAGGUAACUAAAAUCCGCGGAUCUUCUCAACCAUAGGGGCAUAGGAAGUGUGGGAAUGUAAUGUAGAAAAUAAGGAUUUGGGUAUUUUUGGGCAAUACCUAGCUCAAUACACCACUGGACAUGAGUGGGUCAUACCAGCAAAGGUUAUAGCCAGAUUAUGUGGAUACUAAUGAAAAGUCAUUUAUGAAGAAAACGAAUAAUAGUAAGGAAAUUACCUUAACUUGUCGAUGGCGAUGAUCCAAAUUCUACGUAAUAAUUAUGUAGAAGUCACCUAAAAAAUAAAUAUCCAUUAAUAAAUGUUUUUAAGUACUGUUAGAAAAUACAAUCUUUACUAAGUAAUAAUAUAAUUCGUCUAUAAAAAUUAUGAACACUUUUUUAGAAUUCAUUACGUUUGGUUGUUAUGACUAUCACCUACAUGUAGUUCUUCAUAUUCUGUGAACUAAGUUUCUUCUAGGGGAACUUGACUAGUUAAUUGUUCAUUUGAAUAAAAUCACUUAGGAUUGAAUUUUAAAUACCUCUCCUUUGAAAUUCAUUAUUCAGGCCUAGUGACUGUUUAGCAAAAGAGGAUGAAGGUUAUUAGAACCUAUCCAUGUAAUUUCUAUUUUGUUAAAAAGUUCUCAUAAAAUGUUUAGCGUAGUAUCCUACUCCUAUAGAUUCUUAUAUAAACAAGAGGAAUAACCUAAUAUGAAUCGAUUUUUUUUUCUUUGCAUAUAGUAAACCUAAAAAAGCGUAAGCAUCUUAUACUGUAGUUGUCGUUCGUGGGAGCUUCCUCAAUCAUCCUGCACAGAAAAAAUUCCAUUAAGUUCGAUAGUGUGAUAAAAUUAUAUUGUUUUUACUAUAGAUAUUAGUAAUUAGAAUAACCAUUCAAUAUUCAUACAUAAGUGUUUUACUUAUACUGUGCAAUAAUCGAGACAGAAGCAUUACUGAUCAGGAGAAACUCAACCAGGCAAUUCAAGAACGUAUGAUGAAUUAGGUACAUAAGGACCUAUGAUAGAUUAUUAUUUUUGUGCAAAUAAUAAUAAAACUACCGGCCGAUUAAACCUAAACUCUGCUCUGGAUAACAGUGAGCAAAACCAGUACAUCCCACAGAUAGAUUCUAUGCAUACUAACUUUAGUGUGCUCUUAUGAAAUCUUAUGAUAUUUUCAAAAUAAUCGAUAGAAAUCUAAAAAUACUCAUGUGUAUGACGACUUAUUAAACAGAAUCACAUAUGUAUUCAUACGAUGCCUAAUCGGAAAAUAUGACAAUAUAAUUAAUCAAAAAUGAAGAUAAUUCGAAAUGACAUCCUUCAUACUUGGUCAGUGAUAUUUUGUAUAACGAAAAUGUAAAACCGCCGGACAUGAGUGGGUGAUACCAGCGAAGGUUAUAGCCAGAUUAUGUGGAUACUAAUGAAGAGUCAUUUAUCAUGAAAAGUAAUAGUAGUUGGGAAAGUAC
Molecule: long non-coding RNA, 6657 nt
Filed under: Zostera marina
Lineage: Eukaryota; Viridiplantae; Streptophyta; Magnoliopsida; Alismatales; Zosteraceae
Description: long non-coding RNA (ZMAR_LNC004071)
Source: RNAcentral